This 1241-nucleotide ribosomal RNA is filed under the name metagenome. RNAcentral's name for it is "bacterial LSU rRNA". It matches the Rfam family "Bacterial large subunit ribosomal RNA", at positions 1564 to 2815 of the family's 2925-position model. The record is from RNAcentral.
UGAAUACGAGACGCUAAGGCGUCGAAGUAGUGUAUGUCAUACUUCCAAGAAAAGCUUGCACUGUCAUAGAUAAAAAACGCCUGUACCAUAACCGACACAGGUGGGUAGGUAGAGUAUACUAAGGGGCGCGAGAUAACUCUCUCUAAGGAACUCGGCAAAAUAACUCCGUAACUUCGGGAGAAGGAGUGCCUUAUUCGUAAGGUUGCAAUAACAAGAUCCAAGCAACUGUUUAUCAAAAACACAGGUCUCCGCUAAGUCGUAAGACGAUGUAUGGGGGCUGACGCCUGCCCAGUGCCAGAAGGUUAAAGAAGUUGGUUAGCAAUUGCGAAGCUGAUAACUGAAGCCCUGGUGAACGGCGGCCGUAACAAUAACGGUCCUAAGGUAGCGAAAUUCCUUGUCGGGUAAGUUCCGACCCACACGAAAGGCGUAAUGAUUUGGAUACUGUCUCGGAGAGGGGCUCGGUGAAAUAGACUUGUCUGUGAAGAUGCGGACUACCUGCACCAGGACAGAAAGACCCUAUGAAGCUUUACUGUAACUUGAAAUUGAAAUUGGACUUUAUUCGCGCAGUAUAGGUGGGAGGCGUUGAUUAUAAUCUUGUGGGAUUAUUGGAGCCAUCAGUGAGAUACCACUCUUGUAAUGUUAGAUUUCUAACUUUGAAUCAUUAUCUGGUCAAAGAACAGUUUCAGGCGGGCAGUUUGACUGGGGCGGUCGCCUCCUAAACGGUAACGGAGGCGUACAAAGGUUUCCUCUGAACGGUUAGAAAUCGUAUCUAGAGUGUAAAGGCAUAAGGAAGCUUGACUGUGAGACCUACAAGUCGAGCAGGGACGAAAGUCGGUCUUAGUGAUCUGACGGUACUGAGUGGAAAGGCCGUCACUCAACGGAUAAAAGUUACUCUAGGAUAACAGGCUGAUCUCCCCCAAGAGUUCACAUCGACGGGGAGGUUUGGCACCUCGAUGUCGGCUCAUCGCAUCCUGGGGCGGUAGUACGUCCCAAGGGUUGGGCUGUUCGCCCAUGAAAGCGGUACGCGAGCUGGGUUCAGAACGUCGUGAGACAGUUCGGUCCAUAUCCGGUGUAGGCGUUAGAAUAUUGAGAGGAGCCUUCUUUAGUACGAGAGGACCGAGAAGGACAUACCUCUGGUGUACCAGUUAUCGUGCCAACGGUAAACGCUGGGUAGCUAUGUAUGGAGUGGAUAACCGCUGAAAGCAUCUAAGUGGGAAGCCCACCUCAAGAUAAGUAUUCCC